UCCAAAACCACAUUGUCGUUCCAGCAGCCACUUCCAGGCAGGCAGUUUUGAUCUGCAGUGUUUGUCAAGCAACUUAAUAUCCAACCUGUGCAUACAGUACUUCUGAAAGAUAUUUGCGAAGGAAAAUUGUUUGUCUAGAAUUCAAGGGAAUGGAAAUGGACUUUUGCCGUGAUUGAAUUCAUUAGAGGCUUAUUCUCUGAUUGCUUUUUUUUUAUAUUAUUUCCUGUAACUCUAAACUUUCAGUUAUUUCACUGAGAUUCUUUGUCCAACGUCAUGAAGUCAUCUGGAGCUUUUUUUCCCCUUUGUUUUUUAAUCCGAAGUAAUAUCUUCCCCUGAAAUAAAUUGGACAAAAUUAUAACCUAAAUCAGGUCCAGCUGCCUGCCGCUACAAAAGCCAAUGCUCAAGAGGCAGGUGCUGAUGGAAAGGAAAGUGGUUUAUGUUCAGAUGCCGGCCACCUGGAGGAUGGGGGACUCACGUCUCAAAGCCCAUCUCCCCAUCUCAGUGGAGGCAGGGGUUUUUAUAAGCCGGGAGAGGGGAGCAGCACAAAGAGACCAAGAGAAGGCAUGGAAAAGUUCUCUGUGUGCAGAUGAGCACAGUCCAGUCCAAUAAGGCAACUGACCAUCCGCUGUGCAUCAUCCUGGUGUGGUCACCCCGGCUUCACACCAUCCUGGCUCUGAGGUUGAAGGUCUGCGAAUUUCCCGGAGCUGAGAUGCCUCAAAGCUGGAGUCUGUAUCUUUUGAAGCUAGUUCCUAGGAUUCUCAUACAAACAUGCUGUUCAUCUACAAGCUACAUGUUAGUCAGAGUCCGCACUUAGAGACACAAUGUCAAAAGAAUGGUGGGGUGGGUUACAAUUUCCCACGGCUACAAUUUGCCACUUCGGCAUGUCAUUUUC
This is a long non-coding RNA of Phyllostomus discolor (pale spear-nosed bat), 892 nucleotides long. RefSeq lists it as uncharacterized. The record is from RefSeq and is a predicted model, not a curated record. The transcript is spliced from 3 exons. NCBI's taxonomy places the organism in Eukaryota, Metazoa, Chordata, Mammalia, Chiroptera, Phyllostomidae.